GAGGGUGUAGCUCAGUGGUAGAGUGUGUGCUUAGCAGGCAUGAGGUCCGGGUUCAAUACCCAGUGCCUCCA
RNAcentral lists this transfer RNA (71 nucleotides) under Camelus bactrianus (Bactrian camel). It matches the Rfam family "tRNA". From Rfam's summary of the family: Transfer RNA (tRNA) molecules are approximately 80 nucleotides in length. The record is from Rfam by way of RNAcentral. Lineage: Eukaryota; Metazoa; Chordata; Mammalia; Artiodactyla; Camelidae. RNAcentral also lists the same sequence under 2 other names.